GAUGAAGAACGUAGCGAAAUGCGAUAAGUAAUGUGAAUUGCAGAAUUCAGUGAAUCAUCGAAUCUUUGAACGCACAUUGCGCCCUCUGGUAUUCCGGGGGGCAUGCCUGUUCGAGCGUCAUUACAACCCUCAAGCUUUGCUUGGUAUUGGACAUUGCCAGUUUCUGGCAGGUCUUAAAAUCAGUGGCGGUGCCAUUUGGCUUCAAGCGUAGUAAUUCUUCUCGCUUUGGAGAUCCAGGUGGUUACUUGCCAAUAACCCCCAAUUUUUUCAGGUUGACCUCGGAUCAGGUAGGGAUACCCGCUGAACUUAAGCAUAUCAAAAAGCGGAGGA
Molecule: unclassified non-coding RNA, 330 nt
Filed under: soil metagenome
Description: partial contains 5.8S ribosomal RNA, internal transcribed spacer 2, and large subunit ribosomal RNA
Rfam family: 5.8S ribosomal RNA (bases 1-120)
Source: RNAcentral